This 466-nucleotide ribosomal RNA is filed under the name uncultured bacterium. RNAcentral describes it as "partial 16S ribosomal RNA". It matches the Rfam family "Bacterial small subunit ribosomal RNA", at positions 28 to 507 of the family's 1533-position model. The record is from RNAcentral.
GAUGAACGCUGGCGGCGUGCUUAACACAUGCCAGUCGAACGAUGAAGCCCAGCUUGCUGGGUGGUUUAGUGGCGAACGGGUGAGUAACACGUGAGUAACCUGCCCUUAACUCUGGGAUAAGCCUGGGAAACUGGGUCUAAUACCGGAUAGGAGCGUCCACCGCAUGGUGGGUGUUGGAAAGAUUUAUCGGUUUUGGAUGGACUCGCGGCCUAUCAGCUAGUUGGUGAGGUAAUGGCUCACCAAGGCGACGACGGGUAGCCGGCCUGAGAGGGUGACCGGCCACACUGGGACUGAGAGACGGCCCAGACUCCUACGGGAGGCAGCAGUGGGGAAUAUUGCACAAUGGGCGAGAGCCUGAUGCAGCGACGCCGCGUGAGGGAUGACGGCCUUCGGGUUGUAAACCUCUUUCAGUAGGGAAGAAGCGAAAGUGACGGUACCUGCAGAAGAAGCACCGGCUAACUACGUG